RNAcentral lists this long non-coding RNA (220 nucleotides) under Lathyrus oleraceus (garden pea). RNAcentral's name for it is "Pisum sativum (pea) long non-coding RNA (PSAT_LNC035818)". The record is from RNAcentral. Lineage: Eukaryota; Viridiplantae; Streptophyta; Magnoliopsida; Fabales; Fabaceae.
UUUAAUCUGACACUCUCCAUCCUAAUGCUUAUUUGUUUUCCCUUAGUACUCACAAUAGUUUCUCUUCUUCAACUUUUGAUAAAGUGCUACUAAUAAUUGCUGGGCUUUUAUUUCCUUGACUUAGAAAAACAUAUUUCAGAUGUUCUAGGAGUUCUUUUAGUUCAGGGUCUAUUGGUUUUUCCUCACAACUUCCUCCCAAUUCUUCAAGUUUCUUAUAAGC